RNAcentral lists this small nuclear RNA (316 nucleotides) under Octodon degus (degu). RNAcentral describes it as "7SK RNA (ENSODEG00000023957.1)". It matches the Rfam family "7SK RNA". Rfam says of the family: 7SK was discovered as an abundant small nuclear RNA in the mid-70s but a possible function has only recently been suggested. Two independent studies have found that 7SK RNA binds the CDK9/cyclin T complex (known as elongation factor P-TEFb). Lineage: Eukaryota; Metazoa; Chordata; Mammalia; Rodentia; Octodontidae. The record is from Rfam by way of RNAcentral.
AGAUGUGUGUACAAUCUGGUUGUGACAUCUGUCACCCUGUGAAGUGCCAGAGUUGAUUCAGCUGAUCUAGCUGGCCAAGCGGGUGUCCCUUUCCUGCCUCAUGGCUCCCUGUGUGUCCCUCCCGAUACUGUGUGGCCUGCCCUGAUGGAGGAGAACCAUCCUCUAGUGAAGGGUACACGAGGAACUGUGCUCCCCUGCUAGAACCUCCAGCAAGCAUUCAAGAUCACAAGUUGUAUGGUUGCACUGGCAGGAAAUCUGCAGGGAAGAUCAGCCGCACAGGCAGCAGAGCAACAGUGGGCAACAGUGGCCAGGGGCU